Molecule: long non-coding RNA, 374 nt
Filed under: Bos taurus (domestic cattle)
Lineage: Eukaryota; Metazoa; Chordata; Mammalia; Artiodactyla; Bovidae
Description: long non-coding RNA NONBTAT001564
Source: RNAcentral
GUUUUUUAAUGACAUAAUUUGCAUACCAAGGAAGCUAAGCACAUAUAAAUCGAGAAGCAAGUAGCCAUGACACCCUGCAGACCUGGUCGCUGGGGGCUACUUCUGCUGUCUGCAGUUUCUGCAGGACCAAUUGCAGCUCCCUUCCCUGCAAUUGGUGCAGAGAAGGCCACAUGAUGCCCCUGGGCCAGAAGUUCCUGGCAAGAGGUGGUGAGCCGCUGAGAAAGUAUGUCAACCCUCCUGGCAGACACUGUAGCUUCAGCCCCAACAGCUAAACCAGCUCCACCUUCACGCCCUACCUAUUUAUGUCCCUAAUCAUGGCCCACACCUUUAUGUCCCACCCCACCUCCUCCUUUAUGCCCCUCCAGGCCCCACUG